Non-coding RNA from Oryzias latipes (Japanese medaka), 342 nucleotides. Lineage: Eukaryota; Metazoa; Chordata; Actinopteri; Beloniformes; Adrianichthyidae. The record is from RefSeq and is a predicted model, not a curated record.
AAGCUCCUCCUGGAUCAUCAGCCGGUGCCAGUUCGUUGUUCCUCCUAUGGACAUUAACCUUCCGGAUCCUCACCUGGUCGCAGUCCUUCCACGUUGCAGUCACGCCAACCCUGAAACCUCCAGCCAGCCGCCUCGCCUCGCCUUGCUUCGAGCUUCGCCCACGCCAUCUCAAGUAACCUCCAGCCUGCGCCCCGUCUCGUCUGGAUUCAAGCCUCGCUCUCGCCGCAGUUCACCCUCGAGGAGUUUCCCGCUCAAGAUUUCCACCAGCCUGCUCUCGCCCUCUCUGCCUGAGGAAGGAAACCCUGUCAAGCUCACGUUCAGAUUAAACCACUUAAUACUUAC